CAGUCGCCACGGGAAUACAGAGGGUGCGAGCGUUAAUCGGAUUUACUGGGCGUAAAGCGUGCGUAGGCGGCUUCUUAAGUCGGAUGUGAAAUCCCUGAGCUUAACUUAGGAAUUGCAUUCGAUACUGGGAAGCUAGAGUAUGGGAGAGGAUGGUAGAAUUCCAGGUGUAGCGGUGAAAUGCGUAGAGAUCUGGAGGAAUACCGAUGGCGAAGGCAGCCAUCUGGCCUAAUACUGACGCUGAGGUACGAAAGCAUGGGGAGCAAACAGGAUUAGAUACCCGCGUAGUCCCUGUCUUUUAUAC
Molecule: ribosomal RNA, 301 nt
Filed under: uncultured bacterium
Lineage: Bacteria
Description: partial 16S ribosomal RNA
Rfam family: Bacterial small subunit ribosomal RNA
Source: RNAcentral